CUGCUUUGGCAGCACAUCUGCUAGAGUUGGAAUAGCACAGAGAAGAUCAGCAUGGGCCCUGUGCAAGGAUGACACACAAAUCUGUGAAGUGUUCCAUAUUAAA
This is a small nuclear RNA of Phyllostomus discolor (pale spear-nosed bat), 103 nucleotides long. The record is from RefSeq and is a predicted model, not a curated record. Lineage: Eukaryota; Metazoa; Chordata; Mammalia; Chiroptera; Phyllostomidae.